This is a long non-coding RNA of Dioscorea cayenensis subsp. rotundata (Guinea yam), 350 nucleotides long. RefSeq lists it as uncharacterized. The record is from RefSeq and is a predicted model, not a curated record. The transcript is spliced from 2 exons. NCBI's taxonomy places the organism in Eukaryota, Viridiplantae, Streptophyta, Magnoliopsida, Dioscoreales, Dioscoreaceae.
AGAACAGCAUUAUGGGAUGCUAUUUUGCUUCUCUGCCAUAGAAUCAAGGUAGGAUAUGGAGCGGUUGUUCGUGGAGUUCAUCUCGGUUCUUCGGCUUUGAACAUCCUUUCAGUUCUCGAUUCGGCGAAUGAAAGUUGAAGAUCAGGAGAUAAGAGCACCACUUGCUAAACUGGUUUCUAAUGUGUAACCUUCUCUGAUCUUUUUCAAUUUGCUUUAUGAAUUCAAAAACUUAGAAUCAUCUUUUCAAGGUCGUCUUUAACUAGUUGCAUGUAUCCUGAUUUUUCAAAUCAGUGAGGGAAACAAAAUUUGGUUGUAUUGAUUUCAAAUUUAACACAUUUGAAGUUUAGAAU